GAUGAACGCUGGCGGCGUGCCUAAUACAUGCAAGUCGAGCGGACGGACGAGGCGCUUGCUUGGCUGACGUUAGCGGCGGACGGGUGAGUCACAUGAGGAUACCCUACCUAUCAGACUGGUAUAACUUCGGGAAAGCGGAUCUAACACCGGAUAAUAUUUUGAAGCGCGUGGGUCAUCGGAGAAAGACGGUCGUGCUGGCACUUAUCGAUGGUUCCAAGCUGCAUUGGCUAGUUGGUAAGGUAAAGGCUUACCAAGGCUAGGAGGCGUAUCCGACCUGAGAGGCUGAUCGGCCACACUGGAACUUAGACACGGUCCAGGCUCCUACGGGAGGCAGCAGUAGGGAAUCGUGCGCAAUGGGCGAAAGCCUUACGGAGCGACGGCGCGUGUGUGAAGAAGGUCCUCGGAUCGUAAAACUCUGUUAUUAGGGAAGAACAGAUGUGUAAUUAACCGUGGACUGCUUGACGGUACCGAAUCAAAAAGCACCGGCUAACUACGUG
This 497-nucleotide ribosomal RNA is filed under the name uncultured bacterium. Its description in RNAcentral is "partial 16S ribosomal RNA". It matches the Rfam family "Bacterial small subunit ribosomal RNA", at positions 28 to 507 of the family's 1533-position model. The record is from RNAcentral.